CAAGAUUAAACAAUAGAGUUUGAUCCUGGCUCAGAUUGAACGCUGGCGGAACGCUUUACACAUGCAAGUCGAACGGUAA
This 79-nucleotide ribosomal RNA is filed under the name Turicibacter sanguinis. RNAcentral's name for it is "partial 16S ribosomal RNA". It matches the Rfam family "Bacterial small subunit ribosomal RNA", at positions 1 to 72 of the family's 1533-position model. The record is from RNAcentral. RNAcentral also lists the same sequence under 2 other names. Lineage: Bacteria; Bacillati; Bacillota; Erysipelotrichia; Erysipelotrichales; Turicibacteraceae.